UACGUAGGGGGCAAGCGUUGUCCGGAAUUAUUGGGCGUAAAGAGCGUGUAGGCGGUCCGGUAAGUCGGCUGUGAAAAUCCAGGGCUCAACCCUGGGAUGCCGGUCGAUACUGGUGGACUAGAGUCCGGAAGAGGCGAGUGGAAUUCCCGGUGUAGCGGUGAAAUGCGCAGAUAUCGGGAGGAACACCAAUGGCGAAGGCAGCUCGCUGGGACGGUACUGACGCUGAGACGCGAAAGCGUGGGGAGCAAACAGG
RNAcentral lists this ribosomal RNA (253 nucleotides) under uncultured bacterium. RNAcentral describes it as "partial 16S ribosomal RNA". It matches the Rfam family "Bacterial small subunit ribosomal RNA", at positions 524 to 776 of the family's 1533-position model. The record is from RNAcentral.